GAAAUGCGAUAAGUAGUGUGAAUUGCAGAAUUCAGUGAAUCAUCGAAUCUUUGAACGCACAUUGCGCCCCUCGGCAUUCCUUGGGGCAUGCCUGUUCGAGCGUCAUUUAACCCUUCAAGCUCAGCUUGGUGUUGGGUGCUUGUCCCGCCUCCCGCGCGGCGACUCACCUCAAAGUCAUUGGCAGCCCGCACCCGCCGGCCAUGAGCGCAGCACAGUCGCGCUCCGGGCUCCGGCAGGGUCGGCUCCCCAUAAGCAACCCCCCAAAAUUGACCUCGGAUCAGGUAGGAUUACCCGCUGAACUUAA
Molecule: unclassified non-coding RNA, 304 nt
Filed under: uncultured Pleosporales
Lineage: Eukaryota; Fungi; Ascomycota; Dothideomycetes; Pleosporales
Description: sequence contains ITS1
Rfam family: 5.8S ribosomal RNA (bases 1-105)
Source: RNAcentral